RNAcentral lists this ribosomal RNA (1446 nucleotides) under uncultured marine eukaryote. RNAcentral's name for it is "bacterial SSU rRNA". It matches the Rfam family "Bacterial small subunit ribosomal RNA". The record is from RNAcentral.
GAGUUUGAUCAUGGCUCAGGAUGAACGCUAGCGGUAUGCUUAACACAUGCAAGUCGUACGAGAGUUUUUAACUCAAGUGGCGGACGGGUGAGUAACACGUGAGAAUUUGCCUUUAGGAGAGGGAUAACAAUUGGAAACGAUUGCUAAAACCUCAUAUGCUUUUGAGUGAAAUAGAUUUAUCUGCCUAGAGAGAAGCUCGCGACUGAUUAGCUUGUUGGUAAGGUAAUGGCUUACCAAGGCGACGAUCAGUAUCUGGUUUGAGAGGACGAUCAGACACACUGGAACUGAGACACGGUCCAGACUCCUACGGGAGGCAGCAGUGGGGAAUUUUCCGCAAUGGGCGAAAGCCUGACGGAGCAAUACCGCGUGAGGGAUGACGGCCUAUGGGUUGUAAACCUCUUUUUUCAGGGAGGAAUAAAUGACGUGUACCUGAAGAAUAAGCAUCGGCUUACUCCGUGCCAGCAGCCGCGGUAAGACGGAGGAUGCAAGUGUUAUCCGGAAUCACUGGGCGUAAAGCGUCUGUAGGUGGUUUAUUAAGUCGACUGUUAAAUCUUGAAGCUCAACUUCAAAACUGCAUUCGAAACUAUUAGACUAGAGUAUAGUAGGGGUAAAGGGAAUUUCCAGUGGAGCGGUGGAAUGCGUAGAUAUUGGAAAGAACACCGAUGGCGAAGGCACUUUACUGGGCUAUUACUGACACUCAGAGACGAAAGCUAGGGUAGCAAAUGGGAUUAGAUACCCCCAGUAGUCCUAGCUGUAAACAAUGGAUACUAGAUGUUGAACAGAUCGACCUGUGCAGUAUUAAAGCUAACGCGUUAAGUAUCCCGCCUGGGAAGUAUGCUCGCAAGAGUGAAACUCAAAGGAAUUGACGGGGGCCCGCACAAGCGGUGGAGCAUGUGGUUUAAUUCGAUGCAACGCGAAGAACCUUACCAGGGUUUGACAUGAUACGAAUCUCUUUGAAAAAAGAGAGUGCCGUUUGGAACGUAUACACAGGUGGUGCAUGGCUGUCGCCAGCUCGUGUCGUGAGAUGUUGGGUUAAGUCCCGCAACGAGCGCAACCCUUGUUUUUAGUUGCCUUCUAUGGAACUCUAGAAAGACUGCCGGUUAUAAACCGGAGGAAGGCGAGGAUGACGUCAAGUCAGCAUGCCCCUUACACCCUGGGCUACACACGUGCUACAUUGGACGAGACAAUAAGAUGCAACUCCGCGAGGAUUAGCUAAUCUAUAAACUCGUUCUAAGUUCGGAUUGUAGGCUGCAACUCGCCUACAUGAGGGUGGAAUCGCUAGUAAUCGCUGGUCAGCUAUACAGCGGUGAAUCCGUUCCCGGGCCUUGUACACACCGCCCGUCACACCAUGGAAGCUGGUUAUACCCGAAGUCGUUACUCUAACCAUUUGGAGGAGGAUGCCUAAGGUAGAAUUAGUGACUGGGGUGAAGUCGUAACAAGGUAACC